RNAcentral lists this ribosomal RNA (427 nucleotides) under uncultured bacterium. Its description in RNAcentral is "bacterial SSU rRNA". It matches the Rfam family "Bacterial small subunit ribosomal RNA", at positions 774 to 1210 of the family's 1533-position model. The record is from RNAcentral.
AGGAAAUAGAUACCCGGGUAGUCCACGCCCUAAACGAUGACAACUGGCUUUCCGGAGUAUCGACCCUCUGGGAGGCGAAAGCUAAACGCGUUAAAGUUGUCCGCCUGGGUAGUACGGCCGCAAGGCUAAAACUCAAAGGAAUAGACGGGGCUUGCACAAGCGGUGGAGCGUGUGGCUUAAUUCGUCGCUAAGCGAAGAACCUUACCAGGGCUAGAAAUCCUACUGCACGUCUAGCGAAAGCUAGAAAGCCUUCGAGGGUGUAGGACAGGUGAUGCAUGGCUGUCGUCAGUUCGUGGUUUGAAUCGUUCCCUUCAGUGGGGUAACGAACGCAACCCUCGUUGCCAGUUACAAGUGUCUGGCGAGACUGCCCCCUCACGGGGGAGGAAGGUGAGGAUGACGCCAAGUCAGCAUGUCCCUCUGAUGUCCU